This 72-nucleotide transfer RNA is filed under the name Angiostrongylus costaricensis. It matches the Rfam family "tRNA". From Rfam's summary of the family: Transfer RNA (tRNA) molecules are approximately 80 nucleotides in length. The record is from Rfam by way of RNAcentral. Lineage: Eukaryota; Metazoa; Nematoda; Chromadorea; Rhabditida; Metastrongylidae.
GCCUCAUUGGCUCAGAGGCGGAGCGUCUAUCUAGUAAACAGAAAGUCACUGGUUCGAUUCCAGAAUAAGGCA